UAGGCGAUGGACAACAGGUUGAUAUUCCUGUACCACCUCCUCACCAUUUGAGCAAUGGGGGGACGCAGGAGGAUAGGGUAAGCGCGGUAUUGGAUAUCCGCGUCCAAGCAGUUAGGCUGGGAAAUAGGCAAAUCCGUUUCCCAUAAGGCUGAGCUGUGAUGGCGAGCGAAAUAUAGUAGCGAAGUUCCUGAUUCCACACUGCCAAGAAAAGCCUCUAGCGAGGUGAGAGGUGCCCGUACCGCAAACCGACACAGGUAGGCGAGGAGAGAAUCCUAAGGUGAUCGAGAGAACUCUCGUUAAGGAACUCGGCAAAAUGACCCCGUAACUUCGGGAGAAGGGGUGCUCUGUUAGGGUGCAAGCCCGAGAGAGCCGCAGUGAAUAGGCCCAGGCGACUGUUUAGCAAAAACACAGGUCUCUGCGAAGCCGUAAGGCGAAGUAUAGGGGCUGACGCCUGCCCGGUGCUGGAAGGUUAAGAGGAGCGCUUAGCGUAAGCGAAGGUGCGAAUUGAAGCCCCAGUAAACGGCGGCCGUAACAAUAACGGUCCUAAGGUAGCGAAAUUCCUUGUCGGGUAAGUUCCGACCCGCACGAAAGGCGCAACGAUCUGGGCACUGUCUCAACGAGAGACUCGGUGAAAUUAUAGUACCUGUGAAGAUGCAGGUUACCCGCGACAGGACGGAAAGACCCCGUGGAGCUUUACUGCAGCCUGAUAUUGAAUGUUGGUACAACUUGUACAGGAUAGGUAGGAGCCUUGGAAACCGGAGCGCCAGCUUCGGUGGAGGCAUCGGUGGGAUACUACCCUGGCUGUAUUGACCUUCUAACCCGCCGCCCUUAUCGGGCGGGGAGACAGUGUCAGGUGGGCAGUUUGACUGGGGCGGUCGCCUCCUAAAAGGUAACGGAGGCGCCCAAAGGUUCCCUCAGAAUGGUUGGAAAUCAUUCGCAGAGUGUAAAGGCACAAGGGAGCUUGACUGCGAGACCUACAAGUCGAGCAGGGACGAAAGUCGGGCUUAGUGAUCCGGUGGUUCCGCAUGGAAGGGCCAUCGCUCAACGGAUAAAAGCUACCCCGGGGAUAACAGGCUUAUCUCCCCCAAGAGUCCACAUCGACGGGGAGGUUUGGCACCUCGAUGUCGGCUCAUCGCAUCCUGGGGCUGUAGUCGGUCCCAAGGGUUGGGCUGUUCGCCCAUUAAAGCGGUACGCGAGCUGGGUUCAGAACGUCGUGAGACAGUUCGGUCCCUAUCCGUCGCGGGCGCAGGAAAUUUGAGAGGAGCUGUCCUUAGUACGAGAGGACCGGGAUGGACGCACCGCUGGUGUACCAGUUGUUCUGCCAAGGGCAUCGCUGGGUAGCUAUGUGCGGACGGGAUAAGUGCUGAAAGCAUCUAAGCAUGAAGCCCCCCUCAAGAUGAGAUUUCCCAUUCCGCAAGGAAGUAAGAUCCCUGAAAGAUGAUCAGGUUGAUAGGUCUGAGGUGGAAGUGUGGCGACACAUGGAGCUGACAGAUACUAAUCGAUCGAGGACUUAACC
Molecule: ribosomal RNA, 1516 nt
Filed under: metagenome
Description: bacterial LSU rRNA
Rfam family: Bacterial large subunit ribosomal RNA
Source: RNAcentral